Molecule: ribosomal RNA, 465 nt
Filed under: uncultured bacterium
Lineage: Bacteria
Description: partial 16S ribosomal RNA
Rfam family: Bacterial small subunit ribosomal RNA
Source: RNAcentral
GACGAACGCUGGCGGCGUGCUUAACACAUGUAAGUCGAACGGAAAGGCCCUGCUUGCAGGGUACUCGAGUGGCGAACGGGUGAGUAACACGUGGGUGAUCUGCCCUGCACUUCGGGAUAAGCCUGGGAAACUGGGUCUAAUACCGGAUAGGAGCCAUUUUUAGUGUGAUGGUUGGAAAGUUUUUUCGGUGUAGGAUGAGCUCGCGGCCUAUCAGCUUGUUGGUGGGGUAAUGGCCUACCAAGGCGGCGACGGGUAGCCGGCCUGAGAGGGUGGACGGCCACAUUGGGGCUGAGAUACGGCCCAGACUCCUACGGGAGGCAGCAGUGGGGAAUAUUGCACAAUGGGCGCAAGCCUGAUGCAGCGACGCCGCGUGGGGGAUGACGGCCUUCGGGUUGUAAACUCCUUUCGCUAGGGACGAAGCUUUUUGUGACGGUACCUAGAUAAGAAGCACCGGCUAACUACGUG